GCCACACGGGGCGGGGGCACGGGUCCGGGGCCUACGGGAGGCAGCAGUGGGGAAUUUUGGACAAUGGGCGAAAGCCUGAUCCAGCAAUGCCGCGUGCAGGAUGAAGGCCUUCGGGUUGUAAACUGCUUUUGUACGGAACGAAACGGUUUGCCUUAAUACGGUGGGCUAAUGACGGUACCGUAAGAAUAAGCACCGGCUAACUACGUGCCAGCAGGCGCGGUAAUA
This 225-nucleotide ribosomal RNA is filed under the name uncultured bacterium. Its description in RNAcentral is "partial 16S ribosomal RNA". It matches the Rfam family "Bacterial small subunit ribosomal RNA", at positions 307 to 525 of the family's 1533-position model. The record is from RNAcentral.